Molecule: small nuclear RNA, 192 nt
Organism: Eptatretus burgeri (inshore hagfish)
Lineage: Eukaryota; Metazoa; Chordata; Myxini; Myxiniformes; Myxinidae
Gene: U2
Rfam family: U2 spliceosomal RNA
About the family: U2 is a small nuclear RNA (snRNA) component of the spliceosome (involved in pre-mRNA splicing). Complementary binding between U2 snRNA (in an area lying towards the 5' end but 3' to hairpin I) and the branchpoint sequence (BPS) of the intron results the bulging out of an unpaired adenosine, on the BPS, which initiates a nucleophilic attack at the intronic 5' splice site, thus starting the first of two transesterification reactions that mediate splicing.
Source: Ensembl
AUCGCUUCUCGGCCUGAUGGCUAAGAUCAAGUGUAGUAUCUGUUCUUAUCAGUUUAGUAGCUGAUAUGUCCCGCAAUGCGGGACUAGUCUAUUAAAUGGAUUUUUGGUAUCGGGAGUUGGAUUAGGGGCUUGCUCCGUCCGCUCCAUGCAUCGACCCGGUAUUGCAGUACCUCCGAGAACGGUGCACCCCCC